GGGGUUGUGGCUCAGUGGUAGAGCGAUUUCCUAGCAUGUGCAAGGCCCUGGGUUCAAUCCUCAGCACCACUU
This is a non-coding RNA of Ictidomys tridecemlineatus (thirteen-lined ground squirrel), 72 nucleotides long. The record is from Rfam. NCBI's taxonomy places the organism in Eukaryota, Metazoa, Chordata, Mammalia, Rodentia, Sciuridae.